AAACUUAGAGUGAGCCUUAUUCAACCACUCCGCCCGGGAAUUACGAACAUAAGUUUAAAACCCAAAGGACUUGACGGUGCUUUACAUCCGACUAGAGGAGCCUGUUCUACAACCGAUAACCCCCGUUAAACCUCACCCUCCCUUGCUCCAUACCGCCUAUAUACCGCCGUCGUCAGCUUACCCUUUUGAUGGCCUAGCAGUAAGCAAAACUGGCAAAGCCCAGAACGUCAGGUCGAGGUGUAGUGAAUGAGAGGGGAAGAAAUGGGCUACAUUUGCUAAUUAAGCAAAAACGAAUAUCGUAUUGAAACAUACAAUUGAAGGAGGAUUUAGCAGUAAGCAGGAAAUAGAGUGUCCU
Molecule: ribosomal RNA, 355 nt
Filed under: Cyclopsetta querna (toothed flounder)
Lineage: Eukaryota; Metazoa; Chordata; Actinopteri; Pleuronectiformes; Cyclopsettidae
Description: partial 12S ribosomal RNA
Rfam family: Bacterial small subunit ribosomal RNA
Source: RNAcentral